This 625-nucleotide long non-coding RNA is filed under the name Rattus norvegicus (Norway rat). RNAcentral's name for it is "long non-coding RNA NONRATT032340". The record is from RNAcentral. Lineage: Eukaryota; Metazoa; Chordata; Mammalia; Rodentia; Muridae.
AUGUCUGACACCAACACAGGAAGUAAACAUCUCAAUGCAUUCCAGCCCUACCCUCACCCCAAGCCACAGCAAGUGGCUGGCACUCACCAGAAGGCAGAAGAACCACAAUGGAUAGACCAUCUUGUGACCCUGGCCGCCUUGAUCUCUCCUGGGGGCAGGGAAGUGAGCCAUCAGAUCAGAGUUAUGUUCUAUGUUGCACACUUUGGAGCCUCAACGUCCUCCUCUGAACAAUGGGAAACAUCAUGGAGUAUCCUGAGUAUUGGAUGGACCAGCGUCUGGCAUAAAAUAAGAACAAUACACCACUUGGGGGAAAUAGAGAAAUACUACUCUGCUCAAGACUUGAAGAGCGACUUAUAAACACACCAAUACCUAAGGUCUCCACCUAGUCUACCACGUGUCUGAAGUGAACCAGGUAACUCCCUCCUACGAAUCAUUCUUGAACACAUGCUAUGUAUCCAGCCUUCGUCUGGGCUCUGAGUAGAUUACUCACCUGAUGAAUUUGUUGUUGUUUAAUAGUACAAAAUUUUCAUAAUGAACUGGUGGGGCAAAAGAAAAGGCCUGUGCAUAUUUUGUCUAGCUAUCCCUGUGUGCAUUUCUUGUUAUUAAAGGAUUACUUCUUCAAUGG